Molecule: ribosomal RNA, 1065 nt
Filed under: uncultured bacterium
Lineage: Bacteria
Description: bacterial SSU rRNA
Rfam family: Bacterial small subunit ribosomal RNA
Source: RNAcentral
AGAGUUUGAUCCUGGCUCAGGAUGAACGCUGGCGGCGUGCCUAAUACAUGCAAGUAGAACGCUGAAGGAGGAGCUUGCUCUUCUGGAAGAGUUGCGAACGGGUGAGUAACGCGUAGGUAACCUGCCUCUUAGCGGGGGAUAACUAUUGGAAACGAUAGCUAAUACCGCAUAAAAGUCGACAUUGCAUGAUGUUGACUUGAAAGGUGCAAAUGCAUCACUAAGAGAUGGACCUGCGUUGUAUUAGCUAGUUGGUGAGGUAACGGCUCACCAAGGCGACGAUACAUAGCCGACCUGAGAGGGUGAUCGGCCACACUGGGACUGAGACACGGCCCAGACUCCUACGGGAGGCAGCAGUAGGGAAUCUUCGGCAAUGGGGGCAACCCUGACCGAGCAACGCCGCGUGAGUGAAGAAGGUUUUCGGAUCGUAAAGCUCUGUUGUAAGAGAAGAACGAGUGUGAGAGUGGAAAGUUCACGCUGUGACGGUAUCUUACCAGAAAGGGACGGCUAACUACGUGCCAGCAGCCGCGGUAAUACGUAGGUCCCGAGCGUUAUCCGGAUUUAUUGGGCGUAAAGCGAGCGCAGGCGGUUAGAUAAGUCUGAAGUUAAAGGCUGUGGCUUAACCAUAGUACGCUUUGGAAACUGUUUAACUUGAGUGCAGAAGGGGAGAGUGGAAUUCCAUGUGUAGCGGUGAAAUGCGUAGAUAUAUGGAGGAACACCGGUGGCGAAAGCGGCUCUCUGGUCUGUAACUGACGCUGAGGCUCGAAAGCGUGGGGAGCAAACAGGAUUAGAUACCCUGGUAGUCCACGCCGUAACGAUGAGUGCUAGGUGUUGGGUCCUUUCCGGGACUCAGUGCCGCAGCUAACGCAUUAAGCACUCCGCCUGGGGAGUACGACCGCAAGGUUGAAACUCAAAGGAAUUGACGGGGCCCGCACAGCGGUGGAGCAUGUGGUUAAUUCUAGCACGCGAGAACCUUACUAGGUCUUGGCAUCCCUCUGACCGCUCUAGAAGAAUAAAAAUUUUUCCUUUCCUGGACCAAAAGAUGAACAGGUGGGUGGCAAUGGGAUG